RNAcentral lists this ribosomal RNA (172 nucleotides) under Laccaria bicolor. RNAcentral describes it as "5.8S ribosomal RNA". The stretch from base 6 to 159 matches the Rfam family "5.8S ribosomal RNA". Rfam says of the family: 5.8S ribosomal RNA (5.8S rRNA) is a component of the large subunit of the eukaryotic ribosome. It is transcribed by RNA polymerase I as part of the 45S precursor that also contains 18S and 28S rRNA. Functionally, it is thought that 5.8S rRNA may be involved in ribosome translocation. Lineage: Eukaryota; Fungi; Basidiomycota; Agaricomycetes; Agaricales; Hydnangiaceae. The record is from RNAcentral.
UAUACAACUUUCAGCAACGGAUCUCUUGGCUCUCGCAUCGAUGAAGAACGCAGCGAAAUGCGAUAAGUAAUGUGAAUUGCAGAAUUCAGUGAAUCAUCGAAUCUUUGAACGCACCUUGCACUCCUUGGUAUUCUGAGGAGCAUGCCUGUUUGAGUGUCAUUAAAUUCUCAAC